ACGAACCGUACGAACGUUAUUCGGAAUUACUGGGCUUAAAGGGUGCGUAGGCGGCUUGGAAAGUUGGGUGUGAAAGCCCUCGGCUCAACCGAGGAACUGCGCUCAAAACUACCAAGCUUGAGGAAGACAGAGGUGAGUGGAACUUAGGGUGGAGCGGUGAAAUGCGUUGAUAUCCUAAGGAACACCAGUGGCGAAAGCGACUCACUGGGUCUUUUCUGACGCUGAGGCACGAAAGCUAGGGGAGCGAACGG
This 251-nucleotide ribosomal RNA is filed under the name uncultured prokaryote. RNAcentral's name for it is "partial 16S rRNA". It matches the Rfam family "Bacterial small subunit ribosomal RNA", at positions 525 to 775 of the family's 1533-position model. The record is from RNAcentral.